Small nucleolar RNA from Hippopotamus amphibius kiboko, 121 nucleotides. RefSeq annotates it as small nucleolar RNA SNORA56. The transcript has a single exon. The record is from RefSeq and is a predicted model, not a curated record. NCBI's taxonomy places the organism in Eukaryota, Metazoa, Chordata, Mammalia, Artiodactyla, Hippopotamidae.
AGACAGACAGCUAUCCCUUUCUAGUCUGGGUCUCUAGAGGUGUCAAUCUGCAACAGUAAGUGGUGAAUUCUUCUGUCUAGCAUCAGUAUUUUGAUGGUGUCUUUCAACUUGCCAGAGAGAG